UGUGAACUCGAAGAGUAGGGCGGGACACGUGGUAUCCUGUCUGAAUAUGGGGGGACCAUCCUCCAAGGCUAAAUACUCCUGACUGACCGAUAGUGAACCAGUACCGUGAGGGAAAGGCGAAAAGAACCCCGGCGAGGGGAGUGAAAAAGAACCUGAAACCGUGUACGUACAAGCAGUGGGAGCACCUUCGGGUGUGACUGCGUACCUUUUGUAUAAUGGGUCAGCGACUUAUAUUCUGUAGCAAGGUUAACCGUAUAGGGGAGCCGCAGGGAAACCGAGUCUUAACUGGGCGUUAAGUUGCAGGGUAUAGACCCGAAACCCGGUGAUCUAGCCAUGGGCAGGUUGAAGGUUGGGUAACACUAACUGGAGGACCGAACCGACUAAUGUUGAAAAAUUAGCGGAUGACUUGUGGCUGGGGGUGAAAGGCCAAUCAAACCGGGAGAUAGCUGGUUCUCCCCGAAAGCUAUUUAGGUAGCGCCUCGUGAACUCAUCUUCGGGGGUAGAGCACUGUUUCGGCUAGGGGGUCAUCCCGACUUACCAACCCGAUGCAAACUACGAAUACCGAAGAAUGUUAUCACGGGAGACACACGGCGGGUGCUAACGUCCGUCGUGAAGAGGGAAACAACCCAGACCGCCAGCUAAGGUCCCAAAGUCACAGUUAAGUGGGAAACGAUGUGGGAAGGCACAGACAGCCAGGAUGUUGGCUUAGAAGCAGCCAUCAUUUAAAGAAAGCGUAAUAGCUCACUGGUCGAGUCGGCCUGCGCGGAAGAUGUAACGGGGCUAAACUGUGCACCGAAGCUGCGGCAGCGACACUAUGUGUUGUUGGGUAGGGGAGCGUUCUGUAAGCCUGCGAAGGUGGCCUGUGAGGGUUGCUGGAGGUAUCAGAAGUGCGAAUGCUGACAUAAGUAACGAUAAUGCGGGUGAAAAGCCCGCACGCCGGAAGACCAAGGGUUCCUGUCCAACGUUAAUCGGGGCAGGGUGAGUCGACCCCUAAGGCGAGGCCGAAAGGCGUAGUCGAUGGGAAACAGGUUAAUAUUCCUGUACUUGGUGUUACUGCGAAGGGGGGACGGAGAAGGCUAUGUUAGCCGGGCGACGGUUGUCCCGGUUUAAGCAUGUAGGCGGAGGUUCCAGGUAAAUCCGGUACCUUUU
Molecule: ribosomal RNA, 1149 nt
Filed under: Klebsiella aerogenes
Lineage: Bacteria; Pseudomonadati; Pseudomonadota; Gammaproteobacteria; Enterobacterales; Enterobacteriaceae
Description: partial 23S ribosomal RNA
Rfam family: Bacterial large subunit ribosomal RNA
Source: RNAcentral